GGGCGGUGUGCCUCCUGCCUGCCCGUGCUGGCCAGGCCCGUGCGUGCUGCCAUACCUGGCCGCCCCCGAAGUUUGGGACGGAGUUUUCGCUUGGAGUCGGGCAUGUUUGAUAGCCCCGAUAUAAAACAGACCUUUGAGAAGAUUAAGACAGAGCCAGACACGCGUGGUAUUGCCACUUGGAGUACUGAGUGAACUCUUAAUUAGGAAGCCUACUACUUCAUCUGCACCCUACCUUCCUUACAACGUGAUGCACACCAGUCCUCCUGCUUUUCUUGUGUCUUUGUGGAUAUAUAAUCAUCACGGUUCAAAACCAUUUAAAGAAAAUGCAGUUUGAAAGGGUUUACUGCCACAGGUUUGGGUUAACCUUUCUCGUUUAAUGAAACAAUGGGAUUAGAAUGGAGAAAGAAAGAGAUUUAUGAAAGACUUCAAGACUCCCCAAAGCUUCUUGCUUGUGACCUAUUUUGUUCACUACUUUCUGAAGAGAAGAAACUAAAGGAUUUCACAAAGCUUUCUGUGUGA
This 519-nucleotide long non-coding RNA is filed under the name Struthio camelus australis. RNAcentral describes it as "lncRNA (ENSSCUG00000011174.1)". The record is from RNAcentral. Lineage: Eukaryota; Metazoa; Chordata; Aves; Struthioniformes; Struthionidae.